CGGCGCACGGGUGCGUAACGCGUAUAGAACCUACCUUUUACAGAGGAAUAGCCUUUAGAAAUGAAGAUUAAUGCCUCAUAGUAUUGUAGACUGGCAUCAGUUUAUAAUUAAAGAUUUAUCGGUAAAAGAUGGCUAUGCGUCCUAUUAGUUAGUUGGUAAGGUAACGGCUUACCAAGACAGCGAUAGGUAGGGGUCCUGAGAGGGAGAUCCCCCACACUGGUACUGAGACACGGACCAGACUCCUACGGGAGGCAGCAGUGAGGAAUAUUGGACAAUGGAGGAGACUCUGAUCCAGCCAUGCCGCGUGUAGGAAGAAUGCCCUAUGGGUUGUAAACUACUUUUAUACAGGAAGAAACACUGGUAUGUAUACCAGCUUGACGGUACUGUAAGAAUAAGGACCGG
Molecule: ribosomal RNA, 402 nt
Filed under: uncultured Polaribacter sp.
Lineage: Bacteria; Pseudomonadati; Bacteroidota; Flavobacteriia; Flavobacteriales; Flavobacteriaceae
Description: bacterial SSU rRNA
Rfam family: Bacterial small subunit ribosomal RNA
Source: RNAcentral